AGCCAACUUGAAGAUUAGGUAUCAUUAAGUCCCCAGAGAGAUGAUCUGGUUGAUAGGCACUAGGUGGAAGUGUGGUGACACAUGGAGCCGAGGUGUACUAAUAGGACGUUAU
Molecule: ribosomal RNA, 112 nt
Filed under: bacterium
Lineage: Bacteria
Description: partial 23S ribosomal RNA
Rfam family: Bacterial large subunit ribosomal RNA
Source: RNAcentral